This 939-nucleotide ribosomal RNA is filed under the name Cortinarius sp. PDD 94046. RNAcentral describes it as "eukaryotic LSU rRNA". It matches the Rfam family "Eukaryotic large subunit ribosomal RNA", at positions 36 to 960 of the family's 3401-position model. Lineage: Eukaryota; Fungi; Basidiomycota; Agaricomycetes; Agaricales; Cortinariaceae. The record is from RNAcentral.
UAGCAUAUCAAUAAGCGGAGGAAAAGAAACUAACAAGGAUUCCCCUAGUAACUGCGAGUGAAGCGGGAAAAGCUCAAAUUUAAAAUCUGUCAGUCUUUGGCUGUCCGAGUUGUAAUCUAGAGAAGCAUUAUCCGCGCUGGACCGUGUACAAGUCUCCUGGAAUGGAGCGUCAUAGAGGGUGAGAAUCCCGUCUUUGACACGGACUGCCAGGGCUUUGUGAUGUGCUCUCAAAGAGUCGAGUUGUUUGGGAAUGCAGCUCAAAAUGGGUGGUAAAUUCCAUCUAAAGCUAAAUAUUGGCGAGAGACCGAUAGCGAACAAGUACCGUGAGGGAAAGAUGAAAAGAACUUUGGAAAGAGAGUUAAACAGUACGUGAAAUUGCUGAAAGGGAAACGCUUGAAGUCAGUCGCGUUGUCCAGGGAUCAACCUUGCUUUUGCUUGGUGUACUUUCUGGUUGACGGGUCAGCAUCAAUUUUGACUGUUGGAAAAAGGUCAGGGGAAUGUGGCAUCUUCGGAUGUGUUAUAGCCCUUGGUUGUAUACAAUGGUUGGGAUUGAGGAACUCAGCACGCCGCAAGGCCGGGUACUUGUACCACGUACGUGCUUAGGAUGCUGGCAUAAUGGCUUUAAUCGACCCGUCUUGAAACACGGACCAAGGAGUCUAACAUGCCUGCGAGUGUUUGGGUGGAAAACCCGAGCGCGUAAUGAAAGUGAAAGUUGAGAUCCCUGUCGUGGGGAGCAUCGACGCCCGGACCAGACCUUUUGUGACGGUUCCGCGGUAGAGCAUGUAUGUUGGGACCCGAAAGAUGGUGAACUAUGCCUGAAUAGGGUGAAGCCAGAGGAAACUCUGGUGGAGGCUCGUAGCGAUUCUGACGUGCAAAUCGAUCGUCAAAUUUGGGUAUAGGGGCGAAAGACUAAUCGAACCAUCUAGUAGCUGGUCCUGC